Molecule: long non-coding RNA, 437 nt
Organism: Athene cunicularia (burrowing owl)
Lineage: Eukaryota; Metazoa; Chordata; Aves; Strigiformes; Strigidae
Exons: 3
Source: RefSeq, a predicted model, not a curated record
AGACGAUCCAUCCUGGCCGAGCCGAGGGGGGGCUGCGGGAGGCAGCAGCUUCACCAUCCUGACAAGAGAGGUUUACGGCAGAUGUUCUGGUGGAGUAGAUUAACUGAAUGGACCCACCAGGUGGAAUAAAGCCUGAAAAAAUAACUGAGAUCCGUAUCUCCACCUGAAAAAGCCAAUAGCUUUACUAGUAAAAACAAGUAAAGAAAAGUCAGGACCUCGAACACCUUUCCAAAAUGCCAGGGAAAGGUCUUGCUUUUGGGCUGGUGUGUGCUUUGUGCCAUCACCCCAGAGAGGUGCAGCAGCAUGGUACCAGUGGGAAGGACAAGACCAGAGCAUCUCUACUUUUGAAGAAGUUUGUAGUACUGGAGCUCUUCUUCAGCUCUGUACAUCCGCAGAUUACAAAGCACACAUCUUACAGUCUAACCUGGUAUGUGAGU